Molecule: ribosomal RNA, 853 nt
Filed under: Salmonella enterica
Lineage: Bacteria; Pseudomonadati; Pseudomonadota; Gammaproteobacteria; Enterobacterales; Enterobacteriaceae
Description: partial 23S ribosomal RNA
Rfam family: Bacterial large subunit ribosomal RNA
Source: RNAcentral
UGGAAGCGUCUGGAAAGGCGCGCGAUACAGGGUGACAGCCCCGUACACAAAAGCGCAUGUGCUGUGAGCUCGAUGAGUAGGGCGGGACACGUGAUAUCCUGUCUGAAUAUGGGGGGACCAUCCUCCAAGGCUAAAUACUCCUGACUGACCGAUAGUGAACCAGUACCGUGAGGGAAAGGCGAAAAGAACCCCGGCGAGGGGAGUGAAAAAGAACCUGAAACCGUGUACGUACAAGCAGUGGGAGCACCCUUCGGGGUGUGACUGCGUACCUUUUGUAUAAUGGGUCAGCGACUUAUAUUCUGUAGCAAGGUUAACCGAAUAGGGGAGCCGGAGGGAAACCGAGUCUUAACCGGGCGUUAAGUUGCAGGGUAUAGACCCGAAACCCGGUGAUCUAGCCAUGGGCAGGUUGAAGGUUGGGUAACACUAACUGGAGGACCGAACCGACUAAUGUUGAAAAAUUAGCGGAUGACCUGUGGCUGGGGGUGAAAGGCCAAUCAAACCGGGAGAUAGCUGGUUCUCCCCGAAAGCUAUUUAGGUAGCGCCUCGUGAAUUCAUCUCCGGGGGUAGAGCACUGUUUCGGCUAGGGGGCCAUCCCGGCUUACCAACCCGAUGCAAACUGCGAAUACCGGAGAAUGUUAUCACGGGAGACACACGGCGGGUGCUAACGUCCGUCGUGAAGAGGGAAACAACCCAGACCGCCAGCUAAGGUCCCAAAGUCAUGGUUAAGUGGGAAACGAUGUGGGAAGGCCCAGACAGCCAGGAUGUUGGCUUAGAAGCAGCCAUCAUUUAAAGAAAGCGUAAUAGCUCACUGGUCGAGUCGGCCUGCGCGGAAGAUGUAACGGGGCUAAACCAU